GAUGAACGCUGGCGGCGUGCCUAAUACAUGCAAGUCGAGCGAACGGACGAGAAGCUUGCUUCUCUGAUGUUAGCGGCUGACGGGUGAGUAACACGUGGAUAACCUACCUAUAAGACUGGGAUAACUUCGGGAAACCGGAGCUAAUACCGGAUAAUAUUUUGAACCGCAUGGUUCAAAAGUGAAAGACGGUCUUGCUGUCACUUAUAGAUGGAUCCGCGCUGCAUUAGCUAGUUGGUAAGGUAACGGCUUACCAAGGCAACGAUGCAUAGCCGACCUGAGAGGAUGAUCGGCCACACUGGAACUGAGACACGGUCCAGACUCCUACGGGAGGCAGCAGUAGGGAAUCUUCCGCAAUGGGCGAAAGCCUGACGGAGCAACGCCGCGUGAGUGAUGAAGGUCUUCGGAUCGUAAAACUCUGUUAUUAGGGAAGAACAUAUGUGUAAGUAACUGUGCACAUCUUGACGGUACCUAAUCAGAAAGCCACGGCUAACUACGUG
RNAcentral lists this ribosomal RNA (497 nucleotides) under uncultured bacterium. RNAcentral's name for it is "partial 16S ribosomal RNA". It matches the Rfam family "Bacterial small subunit ribosomal RNA", at positions 28 to 507 of the family's 1533-position model. The record is from RNAcentral.